GAUGAACGCUGGCGGCGUGCCUAAUACAUGCAAGUCGAGCGAACGGACGAGAAUCUUGCUUCUCUGAUGUUAGCGGCGGACGGGUGAGUAACACGUGGAUAACCUACCUAUAAGACUGGGAUAACUUCGGGAAACCGUAGCUAAUACCGGAUAAUAUUUUGAACCGCAUGGUUCAAAAGUGAAAGACGGUCUUGCUGUCACUUAUAGAUGGAUCCGCGCUUCAUUAGCUAGUUGGUAAGGUAACGGCUUACCAAGGCAACGAUGCAUAGCCGACCUGAGAGGGUGAUCGGCCACACUGGAACUGAGACACGGUCCAGACUCCUACGGGAGGCAGCAGUAGGGAAUCUUCCGCAAAGGGCGAAAGCCUGACGGAGCAACGCCGCGUGAGUGAUGAAGGUCUUCGGAUCGUAAAACUCUGUUAUUAGGGAAGAACAUAUGUGUAAGUAACUGUGCACAUCUUGACGGUACCUAAUCAGAAAGCCACGGCUAACUACGUG
RNAcentral lists this ribosomal RNA (497 nucleotides) under uncultured bacterium. RNAcentral's name for it is "partial 16S ribosomal RNA". It matches the Rfam family "Bacterial small subunit ribosomal RNA", at positions 28 to 507 of the family's 1533-position model. The record is from RNAcentral.